This 520-nucleotide ribosomal RNA is filed under the name uncultured Glomus. RNAcentral describes it as "SSU rRNA". It matches the Rfam family "Eukaryotic small subunit ribosomal RNA", at positions 569 to 1091 of the family's 1831-position model. The record is from RNAcentral. Lineage: Eukaryota; Fungi; Glomeromycota; Glomeromycetes; Glomerales; Glomeraceae.
AGCAGCCGCGGUAAUUCCAGCUCCAAUAGCGUAUAUUAAAGUUGUUGCAGUUAAAAAGCUCGUAGUUGAAUUUCGGGAUCGACGGGUCGGUCGCGCCUCUGGUGUGUACUGGCCCUGUCGGUUUCUCCCUUCUGAAGAACCGCGAUGUCAUUAAUUUGGUGUCGUGGGAAAUCAGGACUGUUACUUUGAAAAAAUUAGAGUGUUUAAAGUAGGCAUUCGCUUGAAUACAUUAGCAUGGAAUAAUGAAAUAGGACGUUUGAUCUUAUUUUGUUGGUUUCUAAGAUCGACGUAAUGAUUAAUAGGGAUAGUUGGGGGCAUUAGUAUUCAAUUGUCAGAGGUGAAAUUCUUGGAUUUAUUGAAGACUAGCUACUGCGAAAGCAUUUGCCAAGGAUGUUUUCAUUAAUCAAGAACGAAAGUUAGGGGAUCGAAGACGAUCAGAUACCGUCGUAGUCUUAACCAUAAACUAUGCCGACUAGGGAUCGGAUGAUGUUAAUUUUUAAUGACUCAUUCGGCGCCUUAA